GAGUUAGCGAUGAUUAUAAAAUAAUUCUUCAUUCUGAUUUGCUUAACUUAGACAUGACAAACCUCUUAUUAUAACUAUAGAAUUUGAGCUCC
This 92-nucleotide small nucleolar RNA is filed under the name Theobroma cacao (cacao). Its description in RNAcentral is "Small nucleolar RNA snoR8a". It matches the Rfam family "Small nucleolar RNA snoR8a". The record is from Rfam by way of RNAcentral. Lineage: Eukaryota; Viridiplantae; Streptophyta; Magnoliopsida; Malvales; Malvaceae.